This 295-nucleotide ribosomal RNA is filed under the name Roseinatronobacter bogoriensis subsp. barguzinensis. RNAcentral's name for it is "Rhodobaca barguzinensis partial 23S ribosomal RNA". It matches the Rfam family "Bacterial large subunit ribosomal RNA", at positions 2618 to 2925 of the family's 2925-position model. Lineage: Bacteria; Pseudomonadati; Pseudomonadota; Alphaproteobacteria; Rhodobacterales; Paracoccaceae. The record is from RNAcentral.
GUCGUGAGACAGUUCGGUCCCUAUCUGCCGUGGGUGUUGGAGACUUGAGAGGAGUUGCCCCUAGUACGAGAGGACCGGGGUGAACGAUCCACUGGUGGACCUGUUGUGGCGCCAGCCGCAGUGCAGGGUAGCUAUGAUCGGACAGGAUAACCGCUGAAAGCAUCUAAGCGGGAAGCCCCCCUCAAAACAAGGUCUCCCUUGAGAGCCGUGGUAGACCACCACGUCGAUAGGCCGGAGAUGUAAGCGCAGCAAUGCGUUCAGUUGACCGGUACUAAUGGCUCGAUAGGCUUGAUUU